This 2108-nucleotide long non-coding RNA is filed under the name Marmota monax (woodchuck). Lineage: Eukaryota; Metazoa; Chordata; Mammalia; Rodentia; Sciuridae. The record is from RNAcentral.
GAAAAGUCCUUUUUUUUUAAAUGCCAGCCUUAUCUUAAUUGAACCAAGAACAGAAUAUGUUUUGUUUCUUGUUCCAUAUCUCCAUCGAGAAUAGGCAAUGAAGAAAAAAAACAAAAAAGAGAGGCCCUAGGAUUGAGAGUCGGUGGCCUGGGACAGGAGAUGCCGCUCUGGCCUCAGCCCAAGCCCCUGACCUGGCCUUGGGGCCGUGGGCAGGGGCCAGUCCUGCCUGAUCACAUUCACAGCAUCAUGUUCCGAUGUGGAAGUUUUCGUCAGAGAGUGCCCUGGGCUUCGUUCGGACCACCUGACUCCUAGGAUGUCCCCCAGACCAAGGACACUGGACCCCCGGAGGCGGAACCCAGGCAGCAGGUUGUGUUCCCGCUCACCCAGGUGCUUCCAGUGACCUAGAACCGCACCGAACUGGAGGCAGCUGCUGACAGGGAACUGUGACCUCAGCCUAGAAAUAGAGUCUGCCCUUUUGAAUUCUGUGUCCUGAUUUCAUUCACGUUCCCCAUCUGUUGUCUCUCGUUGCGACAGGAGUCCUAGUGAGUCAAUGACUGUCCUCCAGAGAGCAGGACCGUGACUGUGAGAGGGGAAAGUCCUGACUCCUUCAUUCCCACAGCACCACCUCGUCUCACCUGCUCAACCCACCCAACAUUCUCACCUUCUGGCUGGCACCUCCCCCUCCAGACGCCCUUAGCUGGAGGAGUCCCGGGCUCUGCCUGGGCCCUAGCAGUCUCCCCUCCCUCUCUCCCUUGAUGGCUUUCAUUCUCACAGUGUUCACAUCCAUCCGUUGUCACUCCCUGACACGUACCUGCAGAGCCACGUAGUCACCUCCUGGAGAAGCUCUAGAGGACCCUCCCACCCAUCCACUCACUGUGUGGCACAGCUGCAUGUCCUGCCUCGUAAACAGGCUGUGGGGGUCUCCGCCCAGCCCACCAAACUGGGCGCAUAGACACCUAGGGCUGGCCCAGCUGUGGCACCUGACCAGCUCUGGGAGGCCUGAGAGGAGCAGUGGGCAGGAAAGACUUCUCCAGGAGGAGGAGGAGGUGCUGACGUCGAUUUCAGAGGCCAAGAAGGUGCCAGACCUUGAUGGGUGAAAGACAGGGUCAUGUACAGGGCGUUGCAGAAGCUCCAUUUGGUUAGAGCGAGGAGUCGGAACGCAGGAGUAGGUUGGAGAGGGAGAGGUGAUCUGGUCGUGGGCUGCCUCCACGCCCCACCGGGAUUUGCACUUUGAAGGUAGAUAGUUGAGAGCGCAUGAGGGGUUCCAUGAGGAGAUGAGGCUUUGUGUGUGGUUGUGACCAGGUAGAGGGCGGGCUGAAGGCCUCCUGGUGGGCAUUUACGAGAGCCACAGCCUGGUGCUUCUGUGGUGGUCCACACUCUGGUCAUCUCCAGCUGACCCCCAAGGCUCCUGGACCCCAGCUGGUAAACACAGCCGGUCCCAUCCCACUGUAACUGGUGGUCAGUUGGUUGACAGCAGGGGUUCUCCAGCCGUUUCUAAGCCUCAGUUCAGUACGUGCCUUGGGACUUGCGCUGGCCUGUAUCCGAUGUCAGCUGUCUCCAGUGAAACACGUGUUCUGCCUCAUGUUUAUAGAAAAAUCCAAACUUCUUGUCUUUGCUGUUGAAACAUCUUCACUUCAGCACCUGGCUCACCUGGUUUCAUAGCGUCUCCCUCAGCCUCCUUCCCGUCUGGUCUCGGGGCCUUCCGGCUUUCCCUGACUCCCCUGUGGAAACAAGCCCUAGAGUGUCCACUCCAUAUCCUCACUCUUGCAGCCUCCUCCGCUGGAAAUGACCUUUCAUAUCAACGUCAACUCUCUUCCAUUUCUCUUCCACUUGGAGUCAAUCCAAGUGGAGUGGCUGAGAGUAGGACUUCUAAAGCCCAACCUCCUGCUUAUUGGUUUGCAUAAUUUCCUUAACCUCUUUGUGCUUCAGUUUUCUCUUUUCUAAUAAUGGAGAAAUAAUAGUACCCAUCUCAUAGAGUGGUGGUGGAAAUUACAACACUCCUAGAAUAGUGCUUAACACAUAGGGAGCCAUUGAUGAAUGUCAGCUCUUGAGUAAUUAUUGUUUUUCCCUAUAACACCUCUUUUACUUUGAUUUAUCCUGCAAUUAUU